Molecule: unclassified non-coding RNA, 433 nt
Filed under: soil metagenome
Description: partial contains 5.8S ribosomal RNA, internal transcribed spacer 2, and large subunit ribosomal RNA
Rfam family: 5.8S ribosomal RNA (bases 1-120)
Source: RNAcentral
GUUGAAGAACGCAGCGAAAUGCGAUACGUAAUGUGAAUUGCAGAAUUCAGUGAAUCAUCGAAUCUUUGAACGCAUAUUGCGCUCUCUGGUAUUCCGGAGAGCAUGCUUGUUUGAGUAUCAGUAAACACCUCAACUCCCUUUUCUUUUUUGAAAUGGGAGCUGGACUUGAGUGAUCCCAACACUUUUCUCACUGGAAAGUGGCGGGUCACUUGAAAUGCAGGUGCAGCUGGACUUUUCUCUGAGCUAUAAGCAUAUCUAUUUAGUCUGCCUAAAAAACAGAUUAUUACCUUUGCUGCAGCUAACAUAAAGGAGAUGAGUUCUUGUGCUGACUGAUGCAGGAUUCACAGAGACAGCUUUGCGGCUGACUUUGUAAACUCGAUCUCAAAUCAAGUAAGACUACCCGCUGAACUUAAGCAUAUCAAUAAGCGGAGGA